GACGAACGCUGGCGGCGUGCUUAACACAUGCAAGUCGAACGGAAAGGCCCUGCUUUUGUGGGGUGCUCGAGUGGCGAACGGGUGAGUAACACGUGAGUAACCUGCCCUUGACUUUGGGAUAACUUCAGGAAACUGGGGCUAAUACCGGAUAGGAGCUCCUGCUGCAUGGUGGGGGUUGGAAAGUUUCGGCGGUUGGGGAUGGACUCGCGGCUUAUCCGCUUGUUGGUGGGGCAGUGGCUUACCCAGGCUUUGACGGGUAGCCGGCCUGUGAGGGUUACCGGCCACAUUGGGACUGAGAUACGGCCCAGACUCCUACGGGAGGCAGCAGUGGGGAAUAUUGCACAAUGGGCGGAAGCCUGAUGCAGCAACGCCGCGUGCGGGAUGACGGCCUUCGGGUUGUAAACCGCUUUCGCCUGUGACGAAGCGUGAGUGACGGUAAUGGGUAAAGAAGCACCGGCUAACUACGUG
Molecule: ribosomal RNA, 468 nt
Filed under: uncultured bacterium
Lineage: Bacteria
Description: partial 16S ribosomal RNA
Rfam family: Bacterial small subunit ribosomal RNA
Source: RNAcentral